AGCACAGGUGGCUGAUAAUCUGUUUUAAUUAUAGUUAACGUGCUUAAUUUCAGAAGUGAUGUUUAAAGCUCACAGGAGGUUCCAAAGAGCUUUCCAGCUCUGCCUUCCCAGCCUGGCUGCAGUCACACAGCCUCCAGCUCACAGGCUUUUAAAUUAUUUACCCAAAAUUGUUUUUGAAGAAAGAAUUAAAAAUUAAAAAAAAAAAAAAGGAAAGAAAUUGAAGUUUAAAUCUAUUAAGAACUUGAUAGAGGGAUGGAAUGGAAAUAAGAACUCUCAUAAGAGCACUUCAGCUUCUGGUGAUCUGCAGGGAAUAAUGGGCUGAGCCCACGGAGUCACUGCGAGGCUUCAGGAUGAAAACAUAAGGAGAAGUGAAUCAGCUCUUAUGAAACAAUGACCUCCUCCAUCUCCCCAAACAACUUCAGCAGUGCAGCAAAAAUAACACCCAGGAACCAAGCUGUUCCCAGGGUGAGCAAGGGAUCAGGUUUGCAGCUCGGGGCUCUGACGGAGCAGGAGGAUGGAUGCCCUCCUCCAGUCAGCCCCAGCCAGAUCAUUGCUCACCACACUCCAGCUCCAGCUGCUCUGGAAGCAUGCAGCCUUGAUACUCCUGGGUUUUAUUCUAAUUAUUGCGGCAGUGAUAGAAAUUGUUCUUACCAAUAUGGAUUUCAAUAACAUUUUGCACUUAUUCAGCAUCUUUGCACUGAGAAUCUCAGAAGUGCUGAACAGAAGGCAGUGGAAAUCAUCUCCAGUUUUUCCUCAGGGGAAGCUGAAGCAGGCUGGUAAGGACCUCUGGUGUGGAUUGAUAGU
Molecule: long non-coding RNA, 804 nt
Organism: Passer domesticus (house sparrow)
Lineage: Eukaryota; Metazoa; Chordata; Aves; Passeriformes; Passeridae
Exons: 2
Source: RefSeq, a predicted model, not a curated record